RNAcentral lists this non-coding RNA (969 nucleotides) under Chlorocebus sabaeus (green monkey). The record is from Rfam by way of RNAcentral. Lineage: Eukaryota; Metazoa; Chordata; Mammalia; Primates; Cercopithecidae.
AAACAUAGAAAUUUGGUCCUAGCCUUUUUAUGAGUUCUCAGUAAAAUUACACAUGCAAGCAUCCCCGCCCCAGUAAGAAUGCCCUCCAGAUCACCUGGGUCAAAAGGAGCAGGUAUCAAGCACGUAUAAACACAGCUCAUAACACUUUGCUCAACCACACCCCCACGGGAAACAGCAGUGAUACAUUUUAAGCAAUAAGUGAAAGUAUGACUAAACUAUACUAAUAUUUAGGGCUGGUAAAUUUUGUGCCAGCCACCGCGGCCACACAAUUAACCCAAGCUAAUAAAACUCGGCAUAAAGAGUGUUUCAGGUCUGCACUCAAUAAAGUUAAGCUCCAGCUAAAUCGCAAAAAAACUCCAGCUGAAAUAAAAUGUACCACGGAAGUUACUUUAAUGUCCUGAGGACACAACAGCUAAGGCACAAACUGAGAUUAGAAACCCCACUCUGCUUAGCCCCAAACCCAAACGGUUAUAUUAACAAGACUCUUCGCUAGAAUACAUGCAGCAGCUUAAAACUCAAAGGACUUGGCAGUGCUUUAUAUCCUUCUAGAGGAGCCUGUUCUAUAAUCGAUAAACCCCAAUACACCUAACCAUCUCUUGUCAAUCAGCCUAUAUACCACCAUCUUCAGCAAACCCUAAAAAAAAAGCAUAAAGUAAGCACAAGGGUGCACAUUAAAACAUUAGGUCAAGUUGUAGCCUAUGGGAUGAUAAGAAAUGGGCUACAUUUUCUACAUCCAGAAAAAUCUUAUGAUAACCUUCAUGAAAUCUGAAGGUUCAAGGAAGAUUUAGUAGUAAAUCAAGAAUAGAAUGCUUGAUUGAAUAAGGCCAUAAGGCACGCACACAAUGCCCAUCACCCUCCUCAAGUAGUACUCUAGAAAUCACUAUUACUAAUAAUUGUCUACACACAUAUAGAGGAGAUAAGUCAUAACAUGGUAAGUGUACUGGAAAGUGCGCCUGGAUAAACCAAAAU